UUGUCCUUAGUUACCAGCACGUUAUGGUGGGCACUCUAAGGAGACUGCCGGUGACAAACCGGAGGAAGGGUGGGGAUGACGUCAAGUCAUCAUGGCCCUUACGGCCGUGGGCUACACACGUGCUACAAUGGUCGGUACAAAGGGUUGCCAAGCCGCGAGGUGGAGCUAAUCCCAUAAAACCGAUCGUAGUCCGGAUCGCAGUCUGCAACUCGACUGCGUGAAGUCGGAAUCGCUAGUAAUCGUGAAUCAGAAUGUCACGGUGAAUACGUUCCGGGCCUU
This 279-nucleotide ribosomal RNA is filed under the name uncultured Pseudomonas sp. Its description in RNAcentral is "partial 16S ribosomal RNA". It matches the Rfam family "Bacterial small subunit ribosomal RNA", at positions 1105 to 1382 of the family's 1533-position model. The record is from RNAcentral. Lineage: Bacteria; Pseudomonadati; Pseudomonadota; Gammaproteobacteria; Pseudomonadales; Pseudomonadaceae.